Molecule: long non-coding RNA, 4381 nt
Organism: Prinia subflava (tawny-flanked prinia)
Lineage: Eukaryota; Metazoa; Chordata; Aves; Passeriformes; Cisticolidae
Exons: 3
Source: RefSeq, a predicted model, not a curated record
CCGGGUUUUCAGCAGCGAGACGUCUCCAAUCUCCUUCCCCCCCUCCCCGCCUGGCCACGAGGCUGGGUGGGGGAGGGGAAACACGUGGUCGGCUCAGGUUUAAGCCUGCUCUGCUCUGUUCCUGAUCACAUCCCACAAGAGUUGUUAGAGAAAAAACAUAUAUUCAUGGGUGCACUAACAUCUGGCCAGUGUUAACCCAUGACAAGGGGAUGGCCCGCCUGCCCCCUCACGGGCUGGCCCUCGUCCCUGCUGGCAUUUUGGCUGCUGUCCUGGACACUGGGCAUUAAUCAGACAUUUGUCCAACCCCUUCUCCUGAGCUUGGUCGGUAGAAAUGCAUUUAUUGGUCCUUGGGCUGCCCAUCUCUGAGUAAUGAGGGGGCAGAGUCACUGAGGAACAGCCCACAAAGAAUCUCCAGGGGAUCCCUACAGAGUUCAGCUGGAAUAACUUCCAGACUCCCAGCAGCCACUUCUAUGCACUUCUUGGAGACUUCCUCUCCCAAGACCAGAAAGAAGCCAACAAAUUGGUCCUACUGAUCCUGUGUUUCAGGUGACUGAUAUUACCUUGUCUGACUGUGAUUUUCUAAAUGCUGUGACUGUGGACGUAGUAUCGAAUCACUUCUGAAGGAUAACACAUUAUCUUCAUUUGAGGAGGGAAAUCCUAACUUUGAAUUAGAGGAAGAACUUACCACUUCAGGAAAGACAUCAACUGGAACAUUCUAACAGAAGGAAGGUUAAAGAGUAAGGAUCAUUUAACCUGCAGCUCCAUAACAAAAAAAGAAGAGAGAUGCUGCAAUUUUAAGACCAUACAGAGCUGUGACAGAUGAUCUUGUAUCUUUCUGCUGCCUAAAAUUUUUCUGCUCCUCACUUUAGAAACACUAAAAUGUUUCUACUGCUUUCAUCUUUGGAACUGUGGACGGUUUGUAAGACAUGCUGCUUUAGAAAAUCCAGCUGUGACAUCACCAGUGGUUUGAUUUCUGGCACCAGUCCUCCUGUGCGUGCUGGCAGCUGGGGAGUCCUUGACCACUGGCAGUGUUUGGUCCAUUUGGCAUCUUCCCUGUGAGUACAUCAACAGGCAUGACCAGCUCCUUAUAUCUCACCUCCAAAAUUGAAGAAGUCUGGAUUGUGUAUCUCUGACUGAUCUUGAUUAUCAUUGUUCUUGUUCUAAUGAAACAAAACCCACAUAUGGAAGAGGCAAGGAAGGAGAGGGAAAGCAAACUGUUCCUGCCAUCCUCUUCUUUCUUCCCCAGUAAUAUUGGCAAACAACUGGAGUAUACCCAGGAAAAGCUGGGCCUGAAGCAGCUGUUCAGCCUAAGACUGACACUGGUAAGAGCUGUGGCUGGUAAAUGUCCCCGCAGCACACACUGCCUGUUUUAUAUCACUGCAUUGGCUGAAGAGGUGAGGUGGUCACAGCUGUGACACCUGUCUGCUCACAGUUGUGUCCAUCUGUCAUGUUCAUGGAUCAAGGAACUGCAGAGCACAAGGGCUGGCCUGACAUCCUGUAUGACAGCAUACAGCUGGACUGCAUGCUUCAUAAGAGAAGGUGGGAUUUGGCUACAGAGAGCAAAUUCCAGCCAAUCCCUGGCUAAACAUAAGCAGGCAGGUAUUGGUCAGUGAGCUGGGUACCAAUCAUAGCCAAUCAGGUUCGAACGUGGAGUCUUCUGAAUGGCCUGUAUAAGAGGUGUGCACACUCUCUGCUGCAUGAAACCCCAAUGUCAUGUGGUCUCUCUGUCUCCUCUGAUUUCAACAGUCCUGAGCCUCCAGCUGUGUUUUGCCUUGCAUCAUAUCUCCCGAUGGGUUGGAGUCACAACGUAUGCAUCUUCCUGUCCAGUUUGUUCCUGCCUGGAGCUGCCAGAGGAUAGGCUGCACCCACCUGCCUGCAUUGCUCACCCCACAGGGCUCCUAUUAUAUGAGAUUGUUGGUUGGAGACCGAUACAUGACAUGGUGGCUCACCAAGGGUCAUCAACAAACAGCUCUGAGUUUAUUAUGGUUGCCCCUUUUAUAGCGGGUUUGAAUUUCCCGGGCUUGGAUAGCUGAUUGGCUGAGGUCACUACCCAGCUCCUUAGCCGGUGAUAUGUCUGCAUUCUGGAUUGAACAUGAUUGGCUGAGGUCCUGGUUUGAGUUCAAAUCUAUCCUAUGAUUGCUCACCCAGGGACUUGUUCUAAAAUUAACUAGGCUUAGUCAAAUUGAAUAUUCCGUUAUGGCCAGAUUUAUUCCUCCAGCUACAGACCCAGCUGGGCUGUGACAAGUUCCCAUCUCAGCCCUAGGUUUGGGUGGUUCCAUGGGUAUGAUCUGUUCACCAGCUUCAGACUCUCGUGGUACUGUCAAGUACAGUCUCUGUGAGAGCUUCAGAGCUAGCAGAGGAUUUGUUUGGCUCAGGCCUUUCUGGAGCCACUCGGAACCAGCAUUCCAGAAAUGCUCUGUGUCAUCAUUGUUGUCCUCUGCCUUCAAGUAACAUUGGCACUGAGUAGAUACUUUCCUUCCUACCACGAAGGCCUGUCAGGGUUUGCUCCUGCUCCUCCUCCUCCCGGAGUCACUGCCUACAUCCCACUCUUGCAGUCUUCAGACAGGUCUCAUUCCUUUUUACUUGGGUUCUCCUUCCCUUUUCCCUUCUGUUUCCCAAUAGCUCCAUGUUCCACAGUGUGUGGCAACAGCUUGCAGCAGAAAUGCCCUGCAUCCCUCCUGGAGGAGGCCUGUAGUGAACCCAGGGGUUUGGUGGGGUAGGGUGAGAAUGAGAUUGAGGUAUCUUUAGAGGCUCCCAUCCACCUGAGUGAGGGGACCACUUGGUGUUGCAAUUCUGUUGCAGCCAAGGCAAAAAUCAAGGCCAGGUACAUUUGCUGUUUCUUGGGGAUAAAUAUCUCAGGUUUUUAGGACAACUGCAGACUCCAUCCAACCAGGUACUCACUGACUGGAGCUAGAUGGCUCCACAGCAAGCCCUUCCCUGCUCCUCUCAGCAGCCAUUGCUUUCUACCCAGCCCAUGGCCCUGGCAGCACCCCAUGGCACUGUGAGAAGAGGUGAUGCCAAAAAAGAGGAAGGCAGCAUCUCAGGAAACACCAAAGCUCUGGCCUGGCCAGCCUCUUUGGCCCAUUUGGUGCAGUGGCUGCCCGUCCCAGGCCAUCCAAAGCUAUCCCACAGCCUGGGACUGUUUUAGCUGGGGCUGCCUGGCUUGGCUUUUCUGGCUAAGAGGACAAAGGGUCUGUGUGAACACUGGUGGAAUCAGGGCUGGACAUGGUUCUCACUCUCAGGGUCCAUCCCAAAUCUGUCACCUUUGGCUCUAUUCAUGACUGUGAACAGAGAGCAAAGCUAGACUCUGCUGGGGCUGAGCCACACGACCUUCUUUAGAGCUUUUGUACCUGUUCAGUGGCUCUCCAAAGACCCCUCCCACAGGGCAGCAAUCAGAAGUUAGAGUAGUUGGCUGCAACACUGGGAGGCAGUGGCAGAGGCUGAGUGGGGGAGAAGAGCCAAUGCAGAUGGUAGAAGUGUUCUGGGCUGCUGAUCCGCUCCAUUGUUCUGCUGAACCCGAAGUGUCACAUCUACUUGGUUUUCUAAUCUGUCCAGGGAUGGGGACUCUAACACUGCCCUGGGCAGCCUGCACCAGUGGUUUACAACCCUUUCUGUGCAGAAAUUUUCCCAAAAUUCAAUCGAAACUGCCCCUGAUGCAACUUGAGGCUGUUUCCCCUUGUCAUGUCCCUGUUCCCUGGGAGCAGAGCCUGACCUCCCCCUAGCUGCCCCCUCCUGUCAGGGAGUUGUGGAGAGCCAGAAGCUCCCCACUGAGCCUCCUUUUCUCCAGGCUGAGCCCCCUCAGCUCCCUCAAAUAUUCCUGUUGUUAUAAAUGCAUAUAAUUGGCUUUUUGCACAUAUUAAAAUGAAUAUCCCAUGUGUUAUGUUGGGAAGUUAUGCUGUAUUUAUAUAGUUUCUUUCAGUAAUAUGGUAAAUAUAGUUUUUAGGUUAUAGAAUAGUAGUAAAAUAGAAACUAUGUUAUGUAAAGAUGCUUUUGUCAUUAGCUCAAGAAAUAGAGAAGAUAACCAAAGAAUUUUUUCACAGUAUCCUAGCUUGAUAAGAGAUAGCAGCAACGACUCUAAAAAGGCUCUGAGAAAAGAUUUAUAGGGCAUAUCGCUAUGACUGAAUGGAGCCAUGAGAAGACCAGAUUUGUAGAUGAAAAAGAGAAGGGGGGGAGAUGAGAUUAAACAGGAACACCUAAGGUUUGAAAGGAAUGUUUGAGUCAUGUAUGUAAUGUAUGAAUAUUCAACACACAAGGGGAUGAGUCUUUUGUAAAGUGGUGUACCUGCAUGGUGAAUCCCAUGUGAAGGUACCCAGGCGUCUGUAAAAGAAUACUUUUGUUCUUAUUGUCUCCUGAUUGUUUGUAUUUUUUUAUUAAACUUUUA